CAUGGUAGCUUAAUGCUUAAAUCGAUGUAUGGUUAAGGGUGUUAUGCAUGCCUAAUAUGAUUAGAGUUUGUUGUAUUUAUUGGAUAUGCUUAUCAUAUGUUAUAACUUUAAUUGCACCCUUAUUUGAUUUUGGCAUGAUUAUAUGUUUGUUAGUAUAUUUUAUGAUUACAUGCCAUAUUGCAUAAUAUGUAAAGUACAUUUUAUAUAGUCAUAGUUAAGAUGUGCCA
Molecule: long non-coding RNA, 227 nt
Filed under: Elaeis guineensis (African oil palm)
Lineage: Eukaryota; Viridiplantae; Streptophyta; Magnoliopsida; Arecales; Arecaceae
Description: long non-coding RNA (EGUI_LNC057168)
Source: RNAcentral